Molecule: non-coding RNA, 127 nt
Organism: Paramuricea clavata
Lineage: Eukaryota; Metazoa; Cnidaria; Anthozoa; Malacalcyonacea; Plexauridae
Source: the annotation of a GenBank genome assembly
UUUAUACGUCGAAUUUUGGUCGCGUCGAAUGCAAUUAAGACAAUAGAUAAUGAGAUGAUAAACCUCAUUAAGCUUCAUUAUCUAUUGUUUGAAUUGCAUUCGACGCGACCAAAAUUCGACGUAUAAA